RNAcentral lists this ribosomal RNA (892 nucleotides) under uncultured bacterium. Its description in RNAcentral is "bacterial SSU rRNA". It matches the Rfam family "Bacterial small subunit ribosomal RNA", at positions 608 to 1498 of the family's 1533-position model. The record is from RNAcentral.
CUCAACCUUGGAAUUGCAGUCGAAAACUGCUUCGCUAGAGUAUGGUUGGGGAUAGUGGAAUUCCUAGUGUAGGGGUGAAAUCCGUAGAUAUUAGGAGGAACACCAGUGGCGAAAGCGACUAUCUAAGCCAUUACUGACGCUAAGAUGCGAAAGCGUGGGGAGCAAACAGGAUUAGAUACCCUGGUAGUCCACGCAGUAAACGAUGAGUGCUAGUUAUUGGGAUCUUAGAUUUCAGUGGCGAAGCUAACGCGUUAAGCACUCCGCCUGGGGAGUACGGCCGCAAGGCUAAAACUCAAAGGAAUUGACGGGGACCCGCACAAGCAGUGGAGCAUGUGGUUUAAUUCGAUGAUACGCGAAGAACCUUACCAGCUCUUGAAUCCUGAUUACGAUUUUCAGAGAUGGAUUUCUCAGUUCGGCUGGAUCAGUGACAGGUGUUGCAUGGCUGUCGUCAGCUCGUGUCGUGAGAUGUUAGGUUAAGUCCUUCAACGAGCGCAACCCUCAUCCUUAUUUGCCAUCGGGUUAUGCCGGGAACUAUAAGGAAACUGCCAACGACAAGUUGGAGGAAGGUGGGGAUGAUGUCAAGUCAUCAUGGCCCUUAUGGGCUGGGCUACACACAUGCUACAAUGGUGGUUACAACGGGACGCAAUAGAGCAAUCUGGAGCCAAUCCUUCAAAAGCCAUCUCAGUUCGGAUUGGGGGCUGCAACUCGCCCCCAUGAAGUUGGAAUUGCUAGUAAUCGCAGAUCAGAACGCUGCGGUGAAUACGUUCUCGGGUCUUGUACACACUGCCCGUCAAGCCGUGGAAGUUGUUUCUACCCGAAUAUGGUGAGCUAACCUUCGGGAGGUAGCCAUACACGGUAGGGAUAGUAACUAGGGUUAAGUCGUAACAAGGUA